UGUUAGCUUGAUUUCUGACUUCUCAAUAUUU
This 31-nucleotide non-coding RNA is filed under the name Mus musculus (house mouse). Lineage: Eukaryota; Metazoa; Chordata; Mammalia; Rodentia; Muridae. The record is from RNAcentral.